This 45-nucleotide non-coding RNA is filed under the name Schistosoma mansoni. The record is from RNAcentral. Lineage: Eukaryota; Metazoa; Platyhelminthes; Trematoda; Strigeidida; Schistosomatidae.
AUCCAGCUGACUUCUCCAAAAUAGAACGAAACGCGCUUCCUGGAU